GUGAAGCGGCAACAGCUCAAAUUUGAAAGCUGGCCCUUUCAGGGUCCGCAUUGUAAUUUGUAGAGGAUGAUUCGGCGAGGGCUCCCGCCUAAGUCCCCUGGAACGGGGCGUCAUAGAGGGUGAGAAUCCCGUAUGCGGUGGGCUGCCUUAGCCAUGUGAAUCUCCUUCGACGAGUCGAGUUGUUUGGGAAUGCAGCUCUAAAUGGGAGGUAAAUUUCUUCUAAAGCUAAAUACCGGCCAGAGACCGAUAGCGCACAAGUAGAGUGAUCGAAAGAUGAAAAGCACUUUGGAAAGAGAGUUAAAAAGUACGUGAAAUUGUUGAAAGGGAAGCGCUUGCAACCAGACUUGUCCGCAGUUGCUCAGCCGGUCUCCUGACCGGCGUACUCUUCUGCGGCCAGGCCAGCAUCAGUUCGGGCGGUCGGAUAAAGACCUCGGGAAUGUAGCUCCUCUCGGGGAGUGUUAUAGCCCGGGGUGGAAUGCGGCCAGCCUGGACUGAGGAUCUCGCUUCGGCAAGGAUGCUGGCGUAAUGGUUGUAAGCGGCCCGUCUUGAAACACGGACC
Molecule: ribosomal RNA, 559 nt
Filed under: Diplodia seriata
Lineage: Eukaryota; Fungi; Ascomycota; Dothideomycetes; Botryosphaeriales; Botryosphaeriaceae
Description: eukaryotic LSU rRNA
Rfam family: Eukaryotic large subunit ribosomal RNA
Source: RNAcentral